This 649-nucleotide ribosomal RNA is filed under the name Sarcocystis sp. RNAcentral's name for it is "SSU rRNA". It matches the Rfam family "Eukaryotic small subunit ribosomal RNA", at positions 455 to 1077 of the family's 1831-position model. The record is from RNAcentral. Lineage: Eukaryota; Apicomplexa; Conoidasida; Eucoccidiorida; Sarcocystidae.
CUCAGGGAGGUAGUGACAAGAAAUAACAACACUGGAAAUUUUAUCUCUAGUGAUUGGAAUGAUGGGAAUUUAAACCCCUUUCAGAGUAACAAUUGGAGGGCAAGUCUGGUGCCAGCAGCCGCGGUAAUUCCAGCUCCAAUAGCGUAUAUUAAAGUUGUUGCAGUUAAAAAGCUCGUAGUUGGAUGUCUGCUGGAAGCAAUCAGUCCGCCCUAUUUGUAGGGUGUGCACUUGAUGAAUUCUGGCAUCUUUGUCCCAAUGAUGUAACGGAAAAGAAUGCUGUUGGGCGAAAGUUCAAUAGCGUCUUUUCCGAUUAUUGGGAUACUGUUACUUUGAGAAAAUUAGAGUGUUUGAAGCAGGCUAAUUGCCUUGAAUACUGCAGCAUGGAAUAACAAUAUAGGAUUUCGGUUCUAUUUUGUUGGUUUCUAGGACUGAAAUAAUGAUUAAUAGGGACAGUUGGGGGCAUUCGUAUUUAACUGUCAGAGGUGAAAUUCUUAGAUUUGUUAAAGACGAACUACUGCGAAAGCAUUUGCCAAAGAUGUUUUCAUUAAUCAAGAACGAAAGUUAGGGGCUCGAAGACGAUCAGAUACCGUCGUAGUCUUAACCAUAAACUAUGCCGACUAGAGAUAGGAAAAUGUCAUUUUGCUGACUU